GGGAUGUAGGAGGGUAUCUCUGUGCCUGAGAUGAGCGGUCGGUGCUCAGAAAUAGAGGCUUAUUAAGGCAAAAUCCCAUUGAGUUCACUGGAACUGUUGUGUGACAGGAGGGUGAGCUUUGGACUGCAGAUUGCCUGGGGUGCUUGUAGGGCAGAAUUCCAGUGGGACAGCAUGUACCUCUUUUCUAAGGACAAGAUCAGGACCUGAGAACCAAACCACGUUGUCAUGUGAAGCUUGGCUGUGAAAAUACCUGUCUGCUGCUGUGCGAAAUUGCCAGCAGUUGGAACACCAACAGAUCAGUCUGUAGGAGCAAUGUAAAGACGGAAUGGCAUCCCGUGCCCUAUGAUACCUUUGUGGAGACAACAUGGCACAGUGUUGUAAAUUGGAUUAGAAACCUUGCCCUGGAAGAUGGGUGAAAAAGUU
This 423-nucleotide long non-coding RNA is filed under the name Gallus gallus (chicken). RNAcentral's name for it is "lncRNA (ENSGALG00010018614.1)". The record is from RNAcentral. Lineage: Eukaryota; Metazoa; Chordata; Aves; Galliformes; Phasianidae.